Molecule: long non-coding RNA, 1201 nt
Filed under: Homo sapiens (human)
Lineage: Eukaryota; Metazoa; Chordata; Mammalia; Primates; Hominidae
Description: HSALNT0349909
Source: RNAcentral
UCUUCCCUUCCCUUGGUGGUAGACCUAGAUUUUUUUCUCCUCAGAAGCUCUUUUCUAGGCAAGACAUGAAAUCAGAACCCCUCAGUUUUACUCACUUGUAAUUUGUUUACACUCACUCUAAACAAAGCAAUAAUAUCCAUGAAAAGAUAGGUUUGAAAGGCUAGAAACUUAGUACUAACACACGUUGAAGUACGCAAUUAUUACAAUUUAAAAUAUCCUUCUGCACACUAUGGUCAAAUGCCUCCUGGGGCAUGGUGGCCACUCUUUGGGAAACACUGUGCUAAAGGAAUCAGCAAAAAUGUGUCUGGAAUAGUGAAAGUGAUUCCUUUUCAUAGUUGUAAAUAUAUUCCAGUGGAACAUUUGACAACUGAAGUAACUCCAUGGCCUCAAUUCACUUCUUUCUUUCUUUCCUCCCUCCUUCUUUUUCUUGCUUUCUUUCCUUUUUCUGGGCUUUCUUCUCUCUGUCCUCCCCUUUUCACUGAUUUCCUUGUAGUUGCCAAGAACAAUGCCACAUUUAUCAUCACCAUAGACCUUGAGAUUAGUUUCUUGUCUGCUUCUUGAGGGCAGGGACCAUAUGAUAUCACAUUUAUCAUCACCAUAGACUUUCAGGUUAGUUUCUUGUCUGCUUCUUGAGGGCAGGGACUAUGCUUGAGCUACAUGGUAUCCUCAGAAGCUGCCGCAAUGCCUAGCCCAGGGAAGGACUUCAGAAAAGCUAUGCUAGGUGCAUAGACACUGUCCCUGAAGUCACAGCACUCUGGACUUACUAGGAGAAACGGACUGUAAACCACAAGUGGGAAAUGCUGGGAUCUGGGCAUGCACAGGCUCCAGUGGUGAGACAAAUCGGUGAGGAGUGGUCUUUGGUGCCUUUAUGAAGGAGACUUGAGCUCCAUCAUGAAGAAUGAACAGGUGAAAGAGAAGGACGUUCAAGGUUGCAAGAAAGCUCAAGUAGCCUAUGGAGAGGAUGCAAGGCUUCCAGCUGAUGCCCUCAGCCAGGCUCAGUAGCAGCCAGAACUAGCCUACCAACGAACCUGCUGAUCAUGUGCAUAAGCCACCUUGAACGUCGAUCCUCCUGCCUGGUGGAGCCAUCCCAGCUGAUGCCACAUGAAGCAGACACAAGCUGUCCCUACUAAGCUCUGCUCAAGUUGGAUAUUCAUGAGUGAAAUAAAUGACUGUUACUAAGUAAUUAAUUUUUGGGUGGCUG